RNAcentral lists this ribosomal RNA (615 nucleotides) under Triticum aestivum (bread wheat). Its description in RNAcentral is "partial small subunit ribosomal RNA". Lineage: Eukaryota; Viridiplantae; Streptophyta; Magnoliopsida; Poales; Poaceae. The record is from RNAcentral.
AUGGCGCCUUUGUUCAGGCCCCCCAAUACCAAUAUUUUUUGGGUAAGGGAUCUUAUUGAUACCGGAAACUGGACAUGGCGGCGGCAGUUGGUUCGUGACACAUCCAUCUCACCAGACGCGGAGGCCAUCCUCAAUACCCCACUCCGGUCUGGUGGGGGUGAUGAUUUCCUUGCUUGGAAACAUGAAACUUCAGGUAACUACACCAUUAAAUCGGCGUACCGUGCUCUUAUGAUUCGCAAUGAGCGUCAAGCUCUAGAAGAAGGGACGGAUACCGGAUCCUUGAUUGAUAAUCAGCGGUUGUGGAAUGGUUUGUGGAAGCUAAAUGUGAUGCCAAAAGUGAAGGUGUUCUUCUGGAGGGUGCUAAGGGGAAUUCUGCCAGAUGAGUGUACCCUUAAGCAUCGACAUUUGAGACAGAUAGGGCUUUGCAAAAUCUGCAUGGCGAUGGAUGAGGACAUGGAGCAUGCUCUAUUAAUAUGCUCACACGCACGCCAGUUCUGGGAUGAAGAGCAACAACUUUUUGACUUCCAUAUGCCGCGACUACACCCAAAUACUUGGGCGAGAGACGUAAUCUAUGAUGACAGAUUCACGAGUAGAGACCGAGCCAUCAUAGUUUGA